This 2188-nucleotide unclassified non-coding RNA is filed under the name Mizuhopecten yessoensis (Yesso scallop). RNAcentral's name for it is "uncharacterized LOC110441317, transcript variant X1". The record is from RNAcentral. Lineage: Eukaryota; Metazoa; Mollusca; Bivalvia; Pectinida; Pectinidae.
CGUCAGCCCACCUCUCGGUCCGUACAGUAUCUAUACACUACUGUCAAAGCCGGCAGUUGUACAUGUGUUCGGGGAUACAACAGACUUGUGUUAUAUAACAGGUUACGUGAUCUGUGUCAAUCAGUUGUUUUAUUUCGUGUCGGAUACUUGUUUGUGUUUACUUGGACCACAGGUGGACCGAAUCAGACCCAAGACGAACUGUAAAAUAGCGCCACAGCCUACACCGCAUGUAAACAUGUGACCGACAUGUGUGGUACACGUAUAUUUAUUACCUGUACAGUGUAAGAACCUUCUCUCAAAAUCAGAAUUUAUUUACAAAGCCACAAAGAUGCCUACACCAAGCUGGCCGAAUGCUGGCAUAGGACCCGAUGGGUUCUCGUUUCCAUCUACAUUCCAAGAUAGUUUUCACAAGCCAGUCCAAAUUGAUGAAGACGUCGAACCUGAAAACACCAACGAAAGAAACUCGGAGCAAAAUAGACUGGAUAGAGUUCGAAAAGGAUCUGCCUUGAUCAUCAACAUUCCACAGUCUAGCGGUUAUGACAGUUAUGACGAAAAUCCGAAAAGCAUUAAAUCAAAUAUGCUUAACAUGGAUAUUGAACAAAAUAAUACUGAUGAUAAUCAACUUGAACAAAAACAGUUUUUAGAUUCUGCAGACGGACAAGGCGAGGCCGAAAGACGGAAAAAGAGGAAGAUAUUUAAAUGUUAUUUGUCUAAAUGUAGAUUAGCGUUUGCUUCAGUGGCAGGGAUCUUUGUACUAUUCAUUGUGAUAUUUGGAGCGAUUUAUUUAGCAAAACAUUUGGAUUCUGAUGAUGACAAGGAUAGUGAUGACAUUUCCACAAAACCACUUCAAGUUGAUAUUAAUGAUAUUGUUACAACACCAAAACCUCCAAUUAACACAGACAUCUCACCCUCGAAGGAUCCCAACCACCCAGUAGUGGCGAUUAAGAUGGUUGUGGACGAAAAUUAUGCACAAAACGGUAAAGGUCACCUAGUGCUGUGGAAAGCACCCCAGGGUAAACACGUCCACCAGGGAAUCACCUAUAACAACGGCUCCUUCACAGUACCGGUCGACGGGUUCUACAGUUACAAAUCCACUCUCAAAUUUGACACCCGCAAAGACAACUUGGAAUCCGAAAAAGAACUCCAUUUCCACCAUUGUAUUAACAUCAAUGGCACACAGAAAAGUACUUGCACAACAAAUGGAAUUCCAGUGAAUGCAAUUCGAACCAAUACCGCGCAAGAUUCUUGGGUGUACAUACGCGCAGGACAGGAAGUGUACGUCACAAUUAAUAAAGUCGGUUUUAUUUCGGAUUCAAGCGACAGCAAUACAUUCACAAUGAGUUUACAUUCGGGUUCGAAGGAAUCUCGGUGAGCCACUUCCGGUAAUCAUCCUAAAAAACGGAUAUGUGUAACUCUUUACUGAUAUGAAAUCGACUUCCCCGUCGAUGAGGUUGCCAUAGUUACUUCCGGUAAUCAUCCUAAAAAACGGAUAUGUGUAACUCUUUACUGAUAUGAAAUCGACUUCCCCGUCGAUGAGGUUGCCAUAGUUACCGAGCGCUGCAAUUGGACAUCUUGGCAUUAUUCCAGAAAAUGAAGGUCAUUUCAUAUUGAAAUUGACUCCAUGAUGACCAUGCGUCAGUUCUGCGCAGUGCAGAAAAUGUGACGUGAUGGCAUCACACAAAGGUCGGUGGAACGUACUUUUGACUCGCUUUUCAAGCAUUUUUCGUGUUGUAGACGAAACUCGUGAAAGAGAUCUGUCAAUUUAAGUAUCCGUCCUUAAGGAAAUGGAUGCCUUCUUUUCCAGGACCGGAAAAAAACAUUGACCUUUGUUUUCUAACAGACUUGUGAAAAGCGCAGUCGGAGAACUGACAUUUGAACUGUGAUUUUAUAAAUCACUUGGCUUGAAGAGCUCUGAUCAAUAUACAAUUGAUUGCCUUGAAAAAUCAAACAUUCAUUCGUUGCGAUUUUAUUUGAAACCUAGUUUUCCAUAAAACUGAGAACCUUUCCAAGGAAUUGAUGUUGGUUGUUAACUUGUCAGCAAGAGCUGAUAACUCUGAAAAAUAGCAUUAAAUCCGUAGUUAUUUCGAAGACAGCUGCUGUUGCGGAUGUUGAAUGUGUACGAUCAAAACUGGACAUUGCGUGUCUUGGGCCAGCAAAUAAAUCUGUUGCAUGCAAUGAAUGAAAAUAG